Lolium perenne is the source of this 3848-nucleotide long non-coding RNA. RefSeq lists it as uncharacterized. The record is from RefSeq and is a predicted model, not a curated record. Lineage: Eukaryota; Viridiplantae; Streptophyta; Magnoliopsida; Poales; Poaceae.
UUCUCCUCUGUACUCUGCGGAGUCCUCCUAAUAGAGUUUCCAUUUUAGUCUUUUUUUUUUAAAGAUCAUUAUCUUUUCUGAAGCGGCGAGAGAAGCAGAAGCCCCUGACCUCUCCUUUGUACUGUGUCGCUUUGUCGCUGUUCUGUGAGGAGGCGGAAGCAUGGCGGACAAGACCGUGGUGUCGCCGCAUCCUCGUCGGCCGGCGUGGUAGGUGGCGGUUGCUGCGGGGGACGGCGUGUCCUACUCGGCCGGCCGAUGUAGUGGCAGUUGUUGCGGGGACGCCGCGUACAGCUCGGCCGGCGGAGGCGGGGGCUUUGACGCCGCAGUCGCCGCUAGCGGCGAUGGGGAAUGUUGCGGCUAGUGUGCUUCUCCGUCCAACGGGUAGGAGGUCUGCGAAUCGCGACCGCGCCAGGCGCCAUGGCCGGCGAGAUGGGUAGUAUUCUGUCCUCCUCUUUUUUCUGUCCUCCUCUUUUUUUCUGUCCUCCUCUUUCAUGUGUGUUCUAUGUAGUCAACGAUAACUCGCAGGAUUUGUUCUUUGUUUUAUAGCCGCGUCAGAUGUGUGUUUAUUAUUCAUAUGUGGAGAUAGCUGUCCGUUUUGUUGUUCUAGUGCUCGAUUUGUUUGGUCGCUUGGUAGUUUGACUUUGACAUGCUAUUCUCGAAGCUUUGUUGCCGAUAGUGAUGUUGUUUUGUAAGUGGAGGUAGCUUGCCAGAGUUUGAUUCGUAUGUGCAUGUAGCCAGAUCUAUGGAUGUAGGGAGUCAGAUGUUGGGGGUUCAAUAUCCUUGUUCAGUAUGGCAUCGUGGUAGAAUAUUGGCAGUCAUCUUGAUGUUGUCUCUGAAGUUUUUUCAGUACCAAUGUCAAGCAUUGGUGUUUGUUGCCGAGUUGAUUGAUUAAGAUUGUGCAGAUUCUGCAUGUUAUCCUUGUAAUGUUGUAUAUUGCCUGAAUUUUAAUUAGUUUAAUUAGUUGGGAAGGAAAGAAUGCCCAUAGUGCACAAUGCUCACUGUCUCCUUUUGAUCUGUAACAAUUCAUGAUCAAUGGUCUGCAUCUUCUCCGCUGCUGGCGGCAGCAGUUGAGAUCGUUGGGCAGCGUCGUCGGCAUGGGUUAUGCCGCUGCAAUCGAGCUAGACCAGUUCCCAUGGAUGCUUUCCCAAGCCGUUUGCCUUGAGCACUCUAAGAACUGCAGCUGAUUACUUGGCUGCCUGGUGAGAGGCAAACAUGUAGCACAAAAGUGCAUGCUGGCGGUGGCGAUAUCACCGCGCGUUCAUUCGUGAGCCGGUGGAUGUUGCUCGGUAUGUUUGAUCUGCUGUUAUUGCCUCUCGUUUCGUAGCCCCUCAGAAUGAGUUCAGUUUUAGAAAUUAGUUUCAGUUUCAGUUUGUUAGUGGGUAGGUUGAGUGGUCGGUUCCAGGUUUGGUUGAUUAUAUGGUCAUGAUUUGUUUAUGUAAAAUCUGUGUCUCAUUCCAGGAUAAUUUUCAGUACCAUUCUAUGUUCACUCUCUGCUACUUCUUUCUUUUGUCUAGUUCUCUUUAUUGUCAGUCUUUAGUCUCUCUUUAUCUCAUAAUGUAUUAGAUAAUCUCCAUGUUCUUCAGUUUUACCCCUAUGUUAUUUUUUUAGUUUCUGAUUUAACCAUUAUGCAAGUUUUAUAAUUAGAUAAAUGUUAUUUUUUUUUCAGAUUCUCGUAGUUUCUCUUCUUUAUUUUCUAGUUUCUAUCUUGUUUUUCUAACUCAUGUUCUUAAGUUCUUUUUAAGUCUUCCAAUCUUCAUUUUCUUCUGUCCUGAUAGUUUUUUCUUAAGUCAUUUGUCUCAUUCUUCAGUCCUUUUUUAUCAUUACUAUUUAGAUCUUCAGUUUCUCAAUAUGAGCAGCGGCAUUGUCAGAUUCCCUCAGUUAUCAGUUUUUCAGUUUUGCAGUUAUUUAGUUCUUCAGUAAUUUGUUUCUUCAGAUCAUUGUUUCUUGCAUCCCUCAAUUUAAGUUUUCUUUUUAAUAUCAUCAGUAUUUUUAUUUAGUCAUGAGUCUUUAGUUAUGUCUGUUUAUAAGUCUCUAUUUUUAUUCAUAAGUUCUUGAGUCUUCAGUUAUGUCAGUCUCUAUGUUCAGUCUCUAUGUUUAGGAAAUAUUUCCUAAUUUGUAUUGCUUCAUUUCAUCUCAUCUUUUCAGUAUCAAGUAUUGUUCUGUUCUUAGUAUUUCUCUAACUUUCGAUUCAUCAUUUGCAGCCCCUCAGUAUCAGGUAUCAGACUUUAGAUUUUUUUGUCCCUCAGUCUCUAAGUUUUACUUUUAUUUAGUCCUAGGUCAUCAUUAUUGUCCUAGUAUCAUUCCCUACCUAAAUUUGUCUUCAUCCUUGAGUUUCGUCCGCCUCUAAAUAUUUUCUCAGUGUUAAGUUUCAGUUUUCAUUCCGAAUAUGCAGAUGUGGUGCCAUUUGUGCAGUUCGCCCAGCAUCCUUUACCAGCAGAAAGAGAGUGUUCUUUCGUCAGUAAUGUGCUUCUUUUAUAUUUCUCUCAAUCUUGUAUUUUCUUCAGAUCCUUAUUUCUUGCAUCCCUCACUUUCUCUUUGUCGAGUAUCUUCAAAAGAGUUACUAUUUCUUCUUUAGUAUCUGAUUUCUUUUAAUGUUUCAGUCCUCUGUUUAUUUUGUCCUCUAAGGUGUUGAUUGGCUAACCUCCACUUCCCCACCCUACGUUACUUCCUCCACUGAGAACAGAUACUGUGUCACACCUUUCUUCAUUGUAUUUCCUUUUUCUGCAGCUUUUCAGUUUGUAGUUGGUUAAGAUGUGACAUUUUCUUUAAUCUCUUAGUUUAAAUUCUUUUAGUUUUUCACUUAUUUUAGUUUAAAUUCUUUUAGUUUUUCACUUAUUUUAUUUCUGUAGUGUAAAUUUCUGAAGGAACCACUCCAACAUACGGCUUGAGGAGUCCUAAGGGAUCAGUGACCCUGCUUGAGUAUUCCUAAGGGAUUUUCCAUGCUAAACCGUACCCAGAUAGUAUUGCUACACAGUCAUAAUGUCUAGCACUAUGCAUACGUCCCAGAAUUAACUACUCCCUCCGGUUCAUAUUAAUUGACCUAAUAUGAAUGUAUCUAGACACAUUUUAGUUCUAGAUACAUCCAUAUUGGAGUCAAUUAAUAUGAAUCGGAGGGAGUAGUUCUUUUCAUCCAGAAGUUUAUUUGCAGUCUCUCACUCACUGUUGUACUCCAGUGAGUCUUUCUCUCUAUCAUUAUAGGCCCCUUUGUGUCUAUCUGUCCUUUAUUGGUAUAGGCCCCUUGUGUCUAUCUAUCCUUUAUUUGUAGUCUCUCAGUUUUCAGUGUAGUUGCUUAAGCGAUUUAUUCGUUUCCAUCUGCAGGUUUAUUACACAAUUACGCAUGUGAUAUGUUGUCUCAUUUCUUCAAAGAAGAGUAUUUCUCAGUAAUUUGAGUGUUUUUUUUAUAUAGGAAAGUUGAUCUUAAAGAAGAGUGCAUCAAAAUUAGUUUCUAAUAAAGGUGUGCAUCUUGUGCCCUAGAACGAAAAAAUCUUCAAAAAAUGAAGGUAGCUAUGAGGAUCUAUGUAAGGGAGUUCAGGGACCGUACCUUAGCAUCUCCAAUUGGAAAUUCACAGAGGAGCAGGGACUGCCUGGAAGUAAUGGUUGAAAGAAGUGGUUGGAGCACAUGAACUAUUUUGCUUGCUAGAGAAGAGGGUCGAACAGGUACAAGAUGCAUGUGAGAGUUUUACUGCUUGUGGGCUUUCCAUGGGACUCAAACACAGCCCCUGUAGCGAAAAUGUGUCUGUUUUGCUGGACUGAAACAGACAGUUUUUUGAUUGACUGAGUUCUUUUCUCUGCUGUACAGUUGUCAUCAUUUGGUUGGUCCUUAAAGUAUCUGUUCCCCAAUUGAAAAA